GCUGCGUUGGUCAAAGGGCAAAGACGUCUCCCUUUCACGGAGAAAUUACAGGUUCGAAUCCUGUACGCAGUA
Molecule: transfer RNA, 72 nt
Filed under: Niastella sp. HX-2-15
Lineage: Bacteria; Pseudomonadati; Bacteroidota; Chitinophagia; Chitinophagales; Chitinophagaceae
Description: tRNA-Glu
Rfam family: tRNA
About the family: Transfer RNA (tRNA) molecules are approximately 80 nucleotides in length.
Source: RNAcentral